GACGAAGGAGCCAAGCGUUGUUCGGAAUCACUGGGCUUAAAGCGUGCGUAGGCGGCCUGAAGGGUGUCGUGUGAAAUCCCCCGGCUCAACCGGGGAACGGCACGGCAAACCGCCAGGCUUGAGGCAGAUAGGGGCGACUAGAACUCUAGGUGGAGCGGUGAAAUGCGUUGAUAUCUAGGGGAAUGCCAGUGGUGAAAACGGGUCGCUGGGUCUGUCCUGACGCUGAGGCACGAAAGCGUGGGGAGCGAACGGG
RNAcentral lists this ribosomal RNA (253 nucleotides) under uncultured bacterium. RNAcentral describes it as "partial 16S ribosomal RNA". It matches the Rfam family "Bacterial small subunit ribosomal RNA", at positions 524 to 776 of the family's 1533-position model. The record is from RNAcentral.